RNAcentral lists this ribosomal RNA (292 nucleotides) under uncultured bacterium. RNAcentral's name for it is "partial 16S ribosomal RNA". The record is from RNAcentral.
GGACUACAAGGGUAUCUAAUCCCGUUUGCUCCCCUGGCUUUCGUGUCUCAGUGUCGGCACAUCCCCAGCGAGCUGUUUUCACCAUUGGCGUUCCAAAUGAUAUCUACGCAUUUCACCGCUCCACCAUUUGUUCCGCUCGCCCCUAGAUGGCCCAAGACCAGCAGUAUACCGAGCAGUUCCACGGUUGAGCCGUGGGAUUUCACAAGGUACUUACCAGUCCACCUACACACGCUUUAAGCCCAGUGAUUCCGCCUAACGCUUGGCACCUCUGUCUUACCGCGGCUGCUGGCAC